Molecule: ribosomal RNA, 492 nt
Filed under: uncultured bacterium
Lineage: Bacteria
Description: partial 16S ribosomal RNA
Rfam family: Bacterial small subunit ribosomal RNA
Source: RNAcentral
AGUGAACGCUGGCGGUAGGCCUAACACAUGCAAGUCGAACGGCAGCACAGUAAGAGCUUGCUCUUACGGGUGGCGAGUGGCGGACGGGUGAGGAAUACAGCGGAAUCUACUUUUUCGUGGGGGAUAACGUAGGGAAACUUACGCUAAUACCGCAUACGACCUACGGGUGAAAGCAGGGGAUCUUCGGACCUUGCGCGAUUGAAUGAGCCGAUGUCGGAUUAGCUAGUUGGCGGGGUAAAGGCCCACCAAGGCGACGAUCCGUAGCUGGUCUGAGAGGAUGAUCAGCCACGCUGGAACUGAGACACGGUCCAGACUCCUACGGGAGGCAGCAGUGGGGAAUAUUGGACAAUGGGCGCAAGCCUGAUCCAGCCAUACCGCUUGGGUGAAGAAGGCCUUCGGGUUGUAAAGCCCUUUUGUUGGGAAAGAAAAGCAGCAGGUUAAUACCCCGCUGUUCUGACGGUACCCAAAGAAUAAGCACCGGCUAACUUCGUG